Long non-coding RNA from Pseudophryne corroboree (corroboree frog), 389 nucleotides. RefSeq lists it as uncharacterized. The transcript has 2 exons. The record is from RefSeq and is a predicted model, not a curated record. Lineage: Eukaryota; Metazoa; Chordata; Amphibia; Anura; Myobatrachidae.
GAUCAAUGCCUGACCACAGACUGCUGCAAGGACACAGCAGGUUAGAGAAAAUGGACUAUCGUAUAUCUUGAGGAAGUCAUUUACAUAUGGUCACAGACAGGAUUCCAGCAGGCCUGUUCAUCCGUACUUUACAAAUCACACGAAUGGACAUGCACAGCGUUAACAAGCUCUUUUAAAUAUUAAACAAUAUUGUACAAGCCAUAUCUUCCCAUUCCUUUCUUAAACCUGUCUUCUGUUUUUCACAAAUGUCAGGAUCCUUAUGUUUUCACAUCUAUAUAGUUCUCAACUCUCUGAACUAGUGCCUGGCCUUAGCCACUGCCUGCAACCUCAUUGAGGCAUGAGGCAUAAUGUGUACUUUUAUCAUCCCAUUAAACUGCUGUGUUUUUGUU